Molecule: ribosomal RNA, 254 nt
Filed under: uncultured bacterium
Lineage: Bacteria
Description: partial 16S ribosomal RNA
Rfam family: Bacterial small subunit ribosomal RNA
Source: RNAcentral
CGUGAGAUGUUGGGUUAAGUCCCGCAACGAGCGCAACCCUUGUCACUAGUUGCCAUCAUUUGGUUGGGCACUCUAGUGAGACUGCCGGUGACAAACCGGAGGAAGGUGGGGAUGACGUCAAGUCCUCAUGGCCCUUAUGGGUAGGGCUUCACACGUCAUACAAUGGUCGGUACAGAGGGUUGCCAAGCCGCGAGGCGGAGCCAAUCCCUACAAAGCCGAUCGUAGUCCGGAUCGUAGUCUGCAACUCGACUACG